AGUUACCAUGGACACCGGUAGGCACAGCAGUUGUAAGCCAAGGCCAAGAGACCAUGGCCACUUUAGCCUGGCUGCAAGCUAGGUCGUUGACUGUAGGAAAUGAGUACUACUUUAGGAACAGUAUUGUAGAUUCAUUUAGAAAUAAGGAGAAUGACGCAGCAGUUAAAAUCCAGAGCUGGUUUCGAUGAUGUCAAGUUCGGGCAUGUAUCAGGCGUUUACACAGGACUGUAACAAUUAUUCAAAAAUGGUGGAGAAGUGUCUUAGGCAGAAAACAGUGUCAACUAACUGUGCAGGUAGCACAUUAUACUAUGAUGAUGAAUCUCUACAAUGCAAUGGCUGUCAGGAAAACUGAAUUUAACAAUUAUGGAGCUUGAACUUGGUUUCUGCAUUCAUCUUGAGAAUGGACACAGCAAAAAUAUGAUUUCCUUUGUUUCAGACAAUAGGAUAAUAAUGUAAUUGCUAAGCUAUUAUAAAUGGAGAAAUUUCUUAAGUGAAUUUUAUUAGUGUCCUUAAAAUCUAUGUUGCUUUAUAUUCUCUUUCAUUAAUCUGUUAGUUCUUCUGCAAAUGAUGGAUUUUAUUUUGAGUGAGUCAAGGUAGUAAAAUCCUUUCUGAAAGUGCUGGGGUAAACCAUAGUGGGUAAAUUAACAUUGUAUUGACUAUGUAUUUUGCUUUGGAAAGAGGCUAACCUAGAUACCAGUAGCCGAAGUUUUAUUUCUAAUAAAUGCAAUUCUGCUUUAUUAGUUCAUAACCUACCUGGUAACUUACUUCAAAAUAACGACCCUAGAAGAGAUGUAAACAUGAUUGGUGAGUGUUCAGAAAAAAAAUCUCUAAGGGUAUCUGUAUGGCCAAUAAUAUCCUGGCAGAUAUGUAUGUACCCAAAUUAUGACUAAGAUCUUCAUGUACAAUAUAUAAGAACAAAACUUUUGUCUUAAUUUUCCUUGUGAACAAAGCCUAUUAUAAGUUGUAUAUUUGGGUAUUGACAGUUACCCUGACAACCAAAAUGUAUUCAAUUGUCAAAGAGCCUAGUGGAGCAUUUCUGAAAUGACAGGAGUUUUACAAAUGUAUUUAUAGCCUGUCCAUCCCUAAAUAGAUAUCACUCUUUUGUAAUGAAGAACAAAUUAUAUGUAUGUGAUUUUCUUUUGUGUAAUAGAUAUUAAUGUCCUGAUUUGCUGCAUUUAUUUUUUAAAAGGUCACCUUCUCUCUAAAGACUUUAUGAGUCCCCUACCCCUGUAGAAUUCAUCACUCCUUUUUUAUGUUCCUAUUUUAUCAUCGACGAACUUCUGUUAUAGAACCUGUAAUGUUUACAUGCCUGUCUCCACCCCACCGCCCCUGCCUCCCUACACACUGUAAGUCUCUUGAGGCCCAGAUACUAUCUUCUUCAUCUUUGUAUCUUCAAUGCUUGGCUUGUGGUAGGUGGUUAAAUAAAUAUCCUUGAAUAAAUCAA
Non-coding RNA from Callithrix jacchus (white-tufted-ear marmoset), 1444 nucleotides. The record is from RefSeq and is a predicted model, not a curated record. Lineage: Eukaryota; Metazoa; Chordata; Mammalia; Primates; Cebidae.